AGAGUUUGAUCCUGGCUCAGGAUGAACGCUGGCGGCGUGCUUAACACAUGCAAGUCGAACGGAAAGGCCCAAGCUUGCUUGGGUACUCGAGUGGCGAACGGGUGAGUAACACGUGGGUGAUCUGCCCCGCACUUCGGGAUAAGCCUGGGAAACUGGGUCUAAUACCGGAUAGGACCACUUCUUGGAGGUUGUGGUGGAAAGUUUUUUCGGUGUGGGAUGAGCUCGCGGCCUAUCAGCUUGUUGGUGGGGUAAUGGCCUACCAAGGCGUCGACGGGUAGCCGGCCUGAGAGGGUGUACGGCCACAUUGGGACUGAGAUACGGCCCAGACUCCUACGGGAGGCAGCAGUGGGGAAUAUUGCACAAUGGGCGCAAGCCUGAUGCAGCGACGCCGCGUGGGGGAUGACGGCCUUCGGGUUGUAAACUCCUUUCGCUAGGGACGAAGCGCAAGUGACGGUACCUAGAGAAGAAGCACCGGCUAACUACGUGCCAGCAGCCGCGGUAAUACGUAGGGUGCGAGCGUUGUCCGGAAUUACUGGGCGUAAAGAGCUCGUAGGUGGUUUGUCGCGUCGUUUGUGUAAGCCCGCAGCUUAACUGCGGGACUGCAGGCGAUACGGGCAUAACUUGAGUGCUGUAGGGGAGACUGGAAUUCCUGGUGUAGCGGUGGAAUGCGCAGAUAUCAGGAGGAACACCGAUGGCGAAGGCAGGUCUCUGGGCAGUAACUGACGCUGAGGAGCGAAAGCAUGGGGAGCGAACAGGAUUAGAUACCCUGGUAGUCCAUGCCGUAAACGGUGGGCGCNCGCAUGACCGGGCGGGAAGAAAUCUUCACGGGGGAGACGGACUCGCGGCGGGCGCCUUUGCGGGCUGCCAUGCGCAGGUAGGCGCGGUUGCCAGAUUCGGCUAGCUGCUUCAUGGACGCCGGAUCGUCCGCAAGGGAAGCGCGUGCGGCUUGGAGGAGUUCGAUGAACUCGUCGAGCACCGGCACGAGCGAGUCGGCGUUGGUUUCGCACAUGUUGCGCACGAGUUCGGGUUCCGUACUAGCUACCCGGGUCGCGCCUCUAAAGGACCCGGCGGACAGGGACUGCGAGAGCGUUCCGCCCCGGUCGCCGACCAACGACAGGGCUUCAGCGAUGACGUGGGGGAGGUGGGAGACGCGGGCGACGGAUUCGUC
RNAcentral lists this ribosomal RNA (1168 nucleotides) under Corynebacterium coyleae. RNAcentral describes it as "bacterial SSU rRNA". The stretch from base 2 to 797 matches the Rfam family "Bacterial small subunit ribosomal RNA", at positions 9 to 873 of the family's 1533-position model. The record is from RNAcentral. Lineage: Bacteria; Bacillati; Actinomycetota; Actinomycetes; Mycobacteriales; Corynebacteriaceae.